RNAcentral lists this transfer RNA (75 nucleotides) under Planctomycetaceae bacterium. RNAcentral describes it as "tRNA-Arg". It matches the Rfam family "tRNA". From Rfam's summary of the family: Transfer RNA (tRNA) molecules are approximately 80 nucleotides in length. Their secondary structure includes four short double-helical elements and three loops (D, anti-codon, and T loops). Further hydrogen bonds mediate the characteristic L-shaped molecular structure. tRNAs have two regions of fundamental functional importance: the anti-codon, which is responsible for specific mRNA codon recognition, and the 3' end, to which the tRNAs corresponding amino acid is attached (by aminoacyl-tRNA synthetases). tRNAs cope with the degeneracy of the genetic code in two manners: having more than one tRNA (with a specific anti-codon) for a particular amino acid; and 'wobble' base-pairing, i.e. permitting non-standard base-pairing at the 3rd anti-codon position. The record is from RNAcentral. RNAcentral also lists the same sequence under 1 other name. Lineage: Bacteria; Pseudomonadati; Planctomycetota; Planctomycetia; Planctomycetales; Planctomycetaceae.
GUCCUUGUGGCACAACGGCCCCAGGUGGGUUUCCUAAACCGCAGGUCAGAGGUUCGAAUCCUCUCGGGGAUACCA